Molecule: long non-coding RNA, 1383 nt
Organism: Melospiza melodia melodia
Lineage: Eukaryota; Metazoa; Chordata; Aves; Passeriformes; Passerellidae
Exons: 2
Source: RefSeq, a predicted model, not a curated record
UUGGUCCAGACUCAUUGCUGAAUUCGCCAAACUCAGAAUUAUUCCUGUAUUUUCUGGGAAGUGUUCUGCCGUGUUGCAUCCUCCCACACUGCCCCAGAGCAGGGUGAGGACACUGGGGCUGUGCCGCCUGUGGACCAGCAGUUCCCAGUUCAUUCUCUCAGUGCUGCAGGAGCUGGAGGCUGUGUGGCACGGCUGGUACAUGGAGAGAAGCCAUCCCACAGCUCCCGUGAUGUCCGGGCUGCGCUCCUGGCAGCUCAAGGAUGAGUCUGGCACACCUGUCAAGGCGAGUGGGGAAGAGGAGCAUCCUCCAAGCAGACAGGUCCUGCUCCUGUAAGAGCACCCAGGAAGUCUGGUGGGAUUAGCUCAAGGAAUCUCCUGCCCCUACACCUGACAGGAGAAACCAGAGAGCUGGGCAGAAGAGGAGGCAAGCCAGUCCCUUCUCAGGGCCCUGAUCUGCCACUGUGUUUCCUGUCCAGGCUUUCUGCCCUUGGACCUUUCUCCUCAAGCUUUGUCUUAUUGUGUACAGUUCCUAGAAUGGACUGGAGACCUUACUCUGGAAAAUCCCUGAUGAAGGGCAAAGCCCAGCACUCCAUUCCAUUUUGCUCCAGUGGGGCCCUGGCGCAGCCACCUGGUCCCCAGUGCUGAACCCAGCCAGAUGCCCACCACCUCCUUGCCCUGCACUACCCAGCUGGAUUUCCUCCCCAUCCCAACACUGAGGUGAGGAGCCACAACAGCACAGGAGGAUCCAUCCAGCUCUGAAUGCUGCCAUGAGAGAUGAGCCAGAACUGCCUGCCUUGCCUCCAACAGUCUUUUUAAUCCUCCCAUGGAUAGUGACUCCCACAUUGCCUGGGCAGCCCAUGCCAGUGCUUGACAACUCAUUCAGUGAAGAAAUUUUUCUCUAGUAUCCAGUCUAACCCUCCCCUGGCACCAUUUGAGGCUGUUUCCUGUUGCCUUAUCACCCAGGACUUCAUCCAGCGGCAGAGACAGUGUGAGCCAGUGUCAGGAGAGAACCAGGGACUGAUAGAGGCACCAGACACAGCCUGAGUUGUGCUGGGGAAUAUUUUGGCCUGGAAUUACUGACUAAAAAUGUUUUCAUGGAGUGUUACAAAGCACUUCAUCACUGGGGGAGGUAUUUUGGGGUAACCAUGGUGCAGCAGCUCCAAGUUUGUCGGCGAAGCUGCAUCCGGCCGGCCAGGAGCCCAUAGGAAUCCAAAAGCAGCCCCUCCACCCGCUGGGAGGGAGCUGGAACAAAGGCAUUAGGGAGCAUAAGGAGAUUUACAUUUGCAAAGCUAUUUCCAUUUUAAUAAGCCAAAGCGCUGUUAAAUAGAGAUUGAUAUUUCUCCCCAAAUACCCAUAUUUUUUAACUGGUUUACAUCAACAAGA